Molecule: long non-coding RNA, 210 nt
Filed under: Nicotiana benthamiana
Lineage: Eukaryota; Viridiplantae; Streptophyta; Magnoliopsida; Solanales; Solanaceae
Description: long non-coding RNA (NBEN_LNC038360)
Source: RNAcentral
CAUGACGGUACCCAUUCUUAAUAACUAAAUAAGCCUAACACAUUGCGGAAUUUAACAAUCCGGAAUAAAAAUAAUAACAAACACUAAAUAGAAUAAGAAAUGUAUAAUGGUGGCGCUUGGAACAUACACUGUAUACACAACUUUUGAUAAAAACAUCCCAAAACUCAUAAUCCUACGGGCAACACAUGCUGCAAGAAAGUCUAACACUGC